UUUUUAUGGAGAGUUUGAUCCUGGCUCAGGAUGAACGCUGGCGGCGUGCCUAAUACAUGCAAGUCGAGCGAACAGACGAGGAGCUUGCUCCUCUGACGUUAGCGGCGGACGGGUGAGUAACACGUGGAUAACCUACCUAUAAGACUGGGAUAACUUCGGGAAACCGGAGCUAAUACCGGAUAAUAUAUUGAACCGCAUGGUUCAAUAGUGAAAGACGGUUUUGCUGUCACUUAUAGAUGGAUCCGCGCCGCAUUAGCUAGUUGGUAAGGUAACGGCUUACCAAGG
RNAcentral lists this ribosomal RNA (285 nucleotides) under Staphylococcus epidermidis NIH051668. RNAcentral's name for it is "partial 16S ribosomal RNA". It matches the Rfam family "Bacterial small subunit ribosomal RNA", at positions 1 to 273 of the family's 1533-position model. Lineage: Bacteria; Bacillati; Bacillota; Bacilli; Caryophanales; Staphylococcaceae. The record is from RNAcentral.